GAUCAUGGCUCAGGAUGAACGCUGGCGGCGUGCCUAACACAUGCAAGUCGAGCGGAGAUAUCGAGCGUAUUCGUACGUAAGAGUAUUUAGCGGCGGACGGGUGAGUAACACGUGAGUAACCUGCCUUUUGCAGGGGAAUAACAUUGGGAAACCAGUGCUAAUACCGCAUAACAUCGCCGGAUGGCAUCAUCUGGCGAUCAAAGGAGAAAUCCGGCAGAAGAUGGACUCGCGUCCGAUUAGCUAGUUGGCAGGGUAAAGGCCUACCAAGGCAACGAUCGGUAGCCGAACUGAGAGGUUGAUCGGCCACAUUGGGACUGAGACACGGCCCAGACUCCUACGGGAGGCAGCAGUGGGGAAUAUUGGGCAAUGGGGGAAACCCUGACCCAGCAACGCCGCGUGAAGGACGAAGGCCUUCGGGUUGUAAACUUCUUUGAUCAGGGACGAAAAAAUGACGGUACCUGAAGAACAAGCCACGGCUAACUACGUGCCAGCCGCCGC
Molecule: ribosomal RNA, 498 nt
Filed under: uncultured bacterium
Lineage: Bacteria
Description: bacterial SSU rRNA
Rfam family: Bacterial small subunit ribosomal RNA
Source: RNAcentral